Zophobas morio is the source of this 845-nucleotide long non-coding RNA. RefSeq lists it as uncharacterized. The record is from RefSeq and is a predicted model, not a curated record. Lineage: Eukaryota; Metazoa; Arthropoda; Insecta; Coleoptera; Tenebrionidae. The transcript has 4 exons.
UAAUGAAAAUUACGAACUGGAGAAGCUAAAGUUUUUUUAAAGGAUGUAGACGGAAGAAUGCAAGCUGGCGCAAAGCAGCUUUCUAGUUGAAUUAAGAAAAAGAAGGAGUCGUCACCUCCAAGCUCAACUGCCUAAAGCGCCAUUUUUUAACUAAUAUCAAUUAAAAAACGGUUAACCGAUUAAGUGUAAUUGAGGACAGCUCCCAAAUGUUCUACACUUCAAACUUAAAGGUGUAUUUAACGAAAAUCUACCAGAACAAGAUAAGACCUCAUAUUAAUAAGCUUAGGCCUAUACAGCAGGAACUGUACUUUAAAAUGGAGGGCUUUAGAGUUCAACCCCUGGACAUGCGUUCUUCGACUGAGUUGCAAUUCGUCGAUCACUUAUAGUUACGUAAUUGUGGUUAGUACCUCAGUUGAAAGUAAUGAGUUGUAGGUAACUUAUAAGACCUCUCCAGCAAGUAAAACAUGUUUGAGAAUCCUGAACUUUAAAUAACCCAGCUAAUGUAAUGGAAAAUAUCUCGAGCUCGUUUAUUGAUAUUAUAAUUACGUUGUCUAUUACGCUCCUCUGUUUAAUUAACCCUUUAAAAAUUGUGCUUGUCAAGUAAAAAUAAUAUUUAUAUGUAACCUUCUGGAAGCUGUAGUCACUGUGUACGGUUUUCCAGCAUAAGAACAGUCGACAUAUAAGGACGGCUAGCCGGGCAGAAUAACUUUCUAAUAAUUGAGUUUACCUACGAGCCUUUUGACGGUGCACGCUCUCGACGUCUGCAUGACGCGCUUUGAGCGCUUGCUAUUUUUAGGUUUGAGGUUAGAGUUUUAACGCUAGCAGAUAGUAUAUAUAUGUAAUUC